Molecule: ribosomal RNA, 253 nt
Filed under: uncultured bacterium
Lineage: Bacteria
Description: partial 16S ribosomal RNA
Rfam family: Bacterial small subunit ribosomal RNA
Source: RNAcentral
UACGGAGGGUGCUAGCGUUGUUCGGAAUUACUGGGCGUAAAGCGCGCGUAGGCGGCUUUUCAAGUCAGGGGUGAAAUCCUGGGGCUUAACCCCAGAAUUGCCUUUGAAACUGUAAAGCUUGAGUGUCGGAGGGGAUAACGGAAUUGCUAAUGUAGAGGUGAAAUUCGUAGAUAUUAGCAGGAACACCGGUGGCGAAGGCGGCUAUCUGGACGACAACUGACGCUGAGGCGCGAAAGCGCGGGGAUCAAACGGG